UGAGCAAUCUGCCCUUCUCUUCGGAAUAAGCGUUGGAAACGACGUCUAAUGCCGAAUACGACCUCCUUUCGCAUGAUCGGAGGUGGAAAGCUCCGGCGGAGAAGGAUGAGCUCGCGGCCUAUCAGCUAGUUGGUGUGGGUAAUGGCCCACCAAGGCGACGACGGGUAGCCGGCCUGAGAGGGUGACCGGCCACACUGGGACUGAGACACGGCCCAGACUCCUACGGGAGGNAG
RNAcentral lists this ribosomal RNA (233 nucleotides) under uncultured bacterium. RNAcentral's name for it is "partial 16S ribosomal RNA". It matches the Rfam family "Bacterial small subunit ribosomal RNA", at positions 118 to 351 of the family's 1533-position model. The record is from RNAcentral.